Molecule: ribosomal RNA, 264 nt
Filed under: uncultured archaeon
Lineage: Archaea
Description: partial 16S ribosomal RNA
Rfam family: Archaeal small subunit ribosomal RNA
Source: RNAcentral
AGUCACUGACAUUAGAUACCCGGGUAGUCCCAGCCGUAAACAAUGUGCGUUAGGUGUGUCGGUAACCACGUGUUACUGAUGCGCCGAAGAGAAAUCGUGAAACGCACCACCUGGGAAGUACGGUCGCAAGGCUGAAACUUAAAGGAAUUGGCGGGGAGCACCACAACGGGUGGAGCCUGCGGUUUAAUUGGACUCAACGCCGGGAAGCUCACCGGAUAAGACAGCGGAAUGAUUGCCGGGCUGAAGACUCUGCAUGACUAGCUG